This 498-nucleotide ribosomal RNA is filed under the name uncultured bacterium. RNAcentral describes it as "partial 16S ribosomal RNA". It matches the Rfam family "Bacterial small subunit ribosomal RNA", at positions 28 to 507 of the family's 1533-position model. The record is from RNAcentral.
GACGAACGCUGGCGGCGUGCCUAAUACAUGCAAGUCGAGCGGACGAUUCGAAAGCUUGCUUUUGAAUCGUUAGCGGCGGACGGGUGAGUAACACGUGGGCAACCGGCCCUGUAGACGGAGAUACCACCGAGAAAUCGGUGCUAAUACCGGAUAACACGAAAUGUCGCAUGACGUUUCGUUGAAAGGCGGCGCAAGCUACCGCUACAGGGUGGGCCCGCGGGGCAUUAGCUAGUUGGUGAGGUAACGGCCCACCAAGGCGACGAGGCGUAGCCGACCUUCAAGGGGGAUCGGCCACACUGGGAAUGAGACACGGCCCAGACUCCUACGGGAGGCAGCAGUAGGGAAUCUUCCGCAAUGGACGAAAGUCUGACGGAGCAACGGCGCGUGGUCGAAGAAGGCUCUCGGGUCGUAAAGCUCUGUUGUUAGGGAAGAACAAGUAACGUAGUAACUGACGUUACUAUGACGGUACCUAACGAGAAAGCCACGGCUAACUACGUG